UGGGGAAUAUUGGACAAUGGGGGGAACCCUGAUCCAGCCAUGCCGCUUGUGUGAAGAAGGCCUUAUGGUUGUAAAGCACUUUAAGCGAGGAGGAGGCUCUCUUGGUUAAUACCCAAGAAGAGUGGACGUUACUCGCAGAAAAAGCACCGGCUAACUCUGUGCCAGCAGCCGCGGUAAUACAGAGGGUGCGAGCGUUAAUCGGAUUUACUGGGCGUAAAGCGUGCGUAGGCGGCUUUUUAAGUCGGAUGUGAAAUCCCCGAGCUUAACUUGGGAAUUGCAUUCGAUACUGGGAAGCUAGAGUAUGGGAGAGGAUGGUAGAAUUCCAGGUGUAGCGGUGAAAUGCGUAGAGAUCUGGAGGAAUACCGAUGGCGAAGGCAGCCAUCUGGCCUAAUACUGACGCUGAGGUACGAAAGCAUGGGGAGCAAACAGG
RNAcentral lists this ribosomal RNA (430 nucleotides) under Acidobacteriota bacterium. RNAcentral's name for it is "Acidobacteria bacterium partial 16S ribosomal RNA". It matches the Rfam family "Bacterial small subunit ribosomal RNA", at positions 355 to 776 of the family's 1533-position model. The record is from RNAcentral. Lineage: Bacteria; Pseudomonadati; Acidobacteriota.